UCAUCCUCCCUGCUAAACUAUUUAACUAAGGAGUUUUUGGAGGAGUUUUUUUAUGAUGAAUACCCUGCUCUCUACAAUAUCUAUCAAAAGGACCAAUAUACUCACCACUAUUAUCUGAGCGGAUUCAUUUCAAUCUCUUCCCUUCUGUCUCUUAACCAAGGUCUGAAAAUCCCCGAACACAUCAAGUACUUGAUCCUUGGAAUUCAAAGGAAAUAUCCAGAGUUUGCGAGAAUGAUCAUCAAUAAAAGUCUCAAAGUAAAGUGAACCACCAUGAGACCUUACUUUAAAAGGACCAAAUAAAUCAAAAUGUACCAGCUCCAGCAAAUCAAGCUUUCUUGAAGGCGGAUGACUCUGAGAAGAAACUCUUUUCUAUUUACCGGCUAAGCAAUGAGCACACUUCUUCAACUUUGCUUGUUUCACUCCAAAAAGUAAAUUUUUCUUAGCCAAACUAUCAAUCUCCUUCUCACUCAUAUGACUCAAACUUCUAUGCCAUAACUCUGAUGAAGUAUCAUUUUUCACCAAGUUUACCAAGCCUCUAAAAGUGGAGCCCUGAAAUACAUACAAGUUAGACAACUUGUCACCUCGAGUCACAAUCAUCGAACUUCUAGUAAGCUUACACUGGCUACCACCAAGGGCGUUAACAUAACCCUCAUCAUCAAGGUUUAUUACAGAAAUCAAAUUCAAGUAGACAUCUGAAGCAUGCUUGACAUUAUUGAGAAGUAGUUUGGAACCAGUGUUACUUUCCAAACAAACAAUAUCAAUGCCAAGUACUUUAACUUCAUCAUUUUUGCCUAUUUUCAACAUUCCAAAUUACCUGGAGUAUAAAAAGAAAAUAAUUCCUUCUUUGGUAUAACAUGAGAAGUAGCACCAGAAUUCACAAACCAACUAGACUCAUCACGAACAAGAUUAAUGGCAUUCUCACCACAAGCAAUAAGAAAAUCAUCAUUAGCAACAACUGCAACACUAUUUUCAUUAUCGCUUUUGUUCUUUUUUCGUCUCAUAUCUCUCUUAUGCUUGUAACAAUAUUUCAUGAUAUGCCCCUUUUUAUUGCAAUAGUCAUAUAUAACAUUUUUGAAUUUGGACAUCGACUUGCUUCUACUUUUAUCUCUAUCAUUCAAACCUUUGGACUUAUUUCUCCCCCUGUAAUGCCUUAAAAACAGGUCCUGGAACGUCACACAGUGCUCUGAACUACAAAUAGUCUCAAGCCAACCCUGAAAGCCUGUUACUCAUUCUGAAACUCAAGUGAAGAAAAUAUAAGCAUGGGAAACAUUAAAAUACUAAAAUACUAUCUGAACUGGGCUGAUUUUAAUUGAACAUAAUGUCUGAAAGUACUUAACUAAGAAAUCUGAACAACCGACACUGUAAGGCUGAAAUGUAUCUAAUAGUCGGACAAGCUUCUAACACUACUAACUAGAGAGUCGUUACAACAGACCCCCAGCUGACUCGAACUGACUGAAAAUAACUGAAUAUACUUUAUAAAACUAGAAAUUUGAAUAACUGGGUCCCCAAACUAUGAGGAUUCACUAACUAUCAGGAUGUAGAUAGAGAUGUUUGCGGUUAAUCACGUUGCUGGAACUGAGAACCUGAACCCACAUUAUUAAAGAAUGUAGCACAUAGACAUAUAUGUGGAUCAGUACUUUUGAAAUGUACUGAGCAUGUGGGGGUGAAUGCAUAAGUAAAACAAUAUCUCAACAUUCAUAUAAACUUAUAAAAGAAUGCAUGCUAAGUGUAAGUGGUUCACAUUAGCUUGAAUAACUGAAAGCUGAAAAUCAUGAAUAAUAAAGCAUACUAUAUAAAUCUCGUGAGCCAUGACACUUAGUUCUAAACGUUAUACUUGUAAUAUAUUUUCAAAUUAUGCAAUCUAAGUGAAGAAAGGACUCAUCUUUAUCAUAUAAAAACUAAAAGCUGAAAUUCGGUAACUGAUGUCCUAAGUAAGACAGUAUCUAAGUAAAUUUGUGAGCCUUUACACUUAAUUUCUAAAAGAUUUUCCUGUUAUUCUUUUCUGUUAGGGCUUAGAGAGGUUCUUCUAACCGACAUACACUAUGUGAGCUAUCAUAGUGUCCAACGUCUAGUUCUUCUAAGGGGAAAACCUCACGUUGGGGAGAGGUCUCAUACUCUUGCCAAGGAGUAUAACCUGAGCUAAUUGAUCAUAAUCUGUAUCUGUCAUCCAUAUAAAUAGGAAUAAUCUGAAUAGUCUGUACCUACGUUGGCUCAUAAUUAUGGGGCAUGUAAAUUAGGACACACACCCAACUCGGUGCUAAAUACUACUCCUUUUAAUCUGUAUGUUCAUUCUGUAGAAAAUGCACUUUAAAACCAGCAUAAGGGUUUACAAUGAAGACCAGUUAUGUGUUUUUUACUUUAAAUUGUAAUCAAAACUGUGAAGUGGAUUCCAUAUCUUAGUUGAGGAUCAAAAGAUUAAAUCUUGCUUAACAUCUGAAUAUAAACUAAUCAUAGGAUGCUUAAAAACAUAAUCUUCUUGAAAUAUCAAUAUUUAAACUAGGCCUUAGUAACCCAUGUUUCAAACUCAUGUCAAAUUAUCAUAAAGUCAUGCUCAAUAAUCAAAAUCUUGAAAUUCUUGCACAAUUCUAGUCAAGAUAGUGAAAUUCAUCUCUCAAUGUAUAUAAAACCACUUCAUACGCAUAAAUAGCAAAAAUAGAGAUGCAAUUUAACAUUUAAUUACUUAUAACAUCAGUAUCUUCAAAUAAUGAUAAUUGGGUAUGAACCCUAAACUGUAAAUCAUAUAAUAUCAUAUAAAUUCAACUUUAAAAACUUAUUUUGGAUGAAAGAAGUAUCCUUGUUCAUAACCCCACACACCUUGUUGGUUUAAUUAAAUGUAAAAGCUUGAGAUUUUGAAUCUCUAAUGGUGUUCUUGAAGCUUCUUCUUUAAGUUCUUGAACCCGGAAGCUUGGAUUAUUGACUUUCUUGGAGAAGGAGUAAUCAAAUUAUUCUUGAUUUCUUAGAGCUAGAUUUUGUUCUUAGAUAGGAAAAAGUUGAAUAAUGAAGUAUCUAUUCUAUUUGGGGCUCAAAUUAUGUGUUUUGGGCGGAUUUGGGUGAGGGUAAAUGACUCAAAUUCCUCCAUGGACCCAUAUUUAAAAACACAAAACUGGGAACUGAUGAGAUAAGCGAUGCAUCACGUCGCUCACUGCGAUGCGAUAGGCGAUGCAUCGCGUUGCCCUCCUCGAUGUGACCACUGACGUGACGUGUCCAUGUCAUGUUGACAUUCUAUUUUGGCCAUCCAAACAUGCCCCAAACCUUCUUCAAAAAUUCCAAACCUCACCCGAGAGGUACUAUAGACUACCCUGAUCCUGAAAUAACUUAAAAUUUUACAUUCCAAAGUUGGAAAGGUCGAAAAUAAACUCAUCAAAGUUUUUAGGCUAAAAAUGAGACUAAAUCUUCAACACUUAGCUAAAAUUUCAGGUCCUAAGUCUCUAAUGCACCCAUUCUAAGCAGAAUUGAACUGGGUAGAAUAUGUGGUAUUACACCUCCUCUCUUUAGUAACCAAAACAUCAGAGUGUGGAGAUGAAGAAGAUGAGGCCUAAGAUCUUCUUCUCAUCUCUUCAUUCAAGACAUCAUCUUAAUAUAUUCCAUAGUUACAACACCACCAGUUGCAGAAUUAAUAAAAGAAACUCAAAGAGUUUUCCAAGAGUGAGAGAGUAUUAAGAAGCCAAAUUUCCUGAAUUUCUUCAUCAAACUUUACACUCAUUCCGGACAGCUGGUCAAGGACACCCUGAAAAUCAUUUAUAUGAUCAGAAAUAGAACUGUCCUCUUUAUACCUGAUAUUCAUCAAUUGCUUAAGCAAGAACAACUUAUUAUUUCCAGUCUUCAAAGCAUAAAGUAUCUCAAGCUUGUCCCACAAACUUUUGGCAUGUGUCUCAUUCACAAUAUGAUUUCUAACAUUAUCUUCAACCCGUUGUCUAAUAUAGCCACAAACCUGUAGGUGCUCAAAUUCUCAAUCCUCAUCUAUCAUGGAUUGAGGUUUAGUAGACACAAACAUAGGUAAAUGCAUUUUCUUGACAAAUAGGAGAUCUUUCAUCUUGCCUUUCCAAGUAUGAUAAUUACUACCAUUCAAACACACAAUUUUUAUCAUAUUUGUCUCCAUCAUUCAAAUCGAUAAUCAAUAACAACCUACGCUGAGAUACUACUUUGUUAGGAAAGAGCAGGGGUACUAUCAAAGUGCAUGACAUGGUAGCAGCGGAAAAAUAUCCAAGUCUAAACUUUUCCUUUCAAUUUGAACCAAGAGGAUACUAGCAAACCCAAGCACAAUAUUAAUAUGACAUCAAAUAAAUCGACCAAAUAAAAAUGGUAAGACAAGAAUAAAAUCAAUCAAGACAAGACACCAAAUUUACGUGGAAGCCCCUUCGAUGUGAAGAAUAAAAAUUCAUGGGACCAAAACCUCCACUAUAAUCACCAAGAUUUACAAUAUUGUUCUCCAAAAUGGCCACCAAACAAGUGUCAAACAACGAGCAACAACACAACAAGAUAGCACCAAAACUAGAGAAUAAAAAGCAGCAACAAUACAAAAAAUGCAGCUGCUAUUCGAAAAUGAAAACAGGAUCUAAAGGCCACCAAAUCCAACUCCAUUAGCUCCUAAUCAAAGGUUGAGAUGAGAGGAACAGUAUGUCCAAAAAUCAGCUCAAUCAGACAAGAAACGAAGCAGAAAUUACAAUUUGAAGUUGACAGUUGUGGUUGAAAUUUUAGGUGCUAAAAUUUGCUCUUGUUUUCUCUCUAUGGCUGCUGAAACUCUCUUUUGUUAUAUAGUCUCUCUUUUGUUAUACAGUAAUAGACCUAUGGGCAGAACUGGGUUGGUUCAAAUUGAGCUUUAUUUAUCACAUAGGAAGGGACAAAGACCCAUGACCAACAAUUAUUUGGUAAGCAUGGGGAUAAAAAUUAUCCAUGUAUUAAUUUUAUACCAUGGUUAUUUGGUAAGUUUUCAAAUAAUUAUGUAAAAUUUAUUCAUGUAUUAAUUUUAUUAUACGGUGUUUGAUUGUGCUUUUGUAAUUCUAUAUAAUUAAUAUUGUCAUAACUUAUGAGGGAAUCUAUGUACAAUUUACGUGGGAUAGAAAGAAAGAAGUUAUGUGGGUAUUAAUAAUACAUAGAUUAAAUUAUAAAAUUAAACAUUUAUUCCUAUUGAUUUACUUGUAAAUUCUUUUUUAAGUUUAUGUGUCUGUUCAAUUAUGAAAGAUGUAUUCAAUUCACUGACAGUAAAUAGUUAAACUGCCAGUGUAUUUUGCUUAGUUAACUGCCAGUAUUUUUUUCUUAUUUUGUGCAUUUCAUCCUCAAUUAGUUAAACUGUCUUUUUUUUUUUUUUUUUUUUUUUUUUUUUUUUUUUUUUUUUUUUUUUGUUUUUUUCCCCUAUUUUUUUAAAUUUUUUUUUUUUUUUUUUUUUUUUUUUUUUUUUUUUUUUUUGCAUUUGUGUAUUAGUUAAACAUUAAAUUGUUGAAUUUUUAAUUUGCAAUAUUAAAUCUAUACUUUUUCAUAUGGAAUAAUAAAUAUUAAUUCCUACAUAACUAAAUCCUACGUAACUAAUAACUGCAUAACUAAUUUUUACAUAACUGCAUUCUAAUCAGUAAUCAAAAUACCCCUAAAUAUAUAGCAUGUUUGCUUGAUAGUAUAAAUUUAUCUCGAGAUUAACAUUUACUAUUAAUCAAACAUUGUAUAAAUCUAAUACCAAAUUUAAUCUUGGAAUAUCCCAUCUUAUUCCAUCUAAUAUGCUAUUAUUUUAUACCACUUUUCAUAUGGGAUAAUUAAUGCAAGGAUUAUAAUCUCAAAACUACAAUCAAGAUUUAAUCUACAUACCAAACGUACUACCUCUAAUAUGAAUAAAAUAAUCCAUAAAUUAUAAUCUCAGAACUAUAAUUCAAGAACUAUUUAGUCUACUUAAGAUAUAAAGGUGCAAAUUACAUCAUAUCUAUCAGGUCACAUAAUUAUCAAAAGAAAAGCUCUCGAAUGACAUUAGGUUCCUGGCAGCUAUCAAUUUUUUAAAAUGAUAAAAGUAGACCAAUUUAUAGGCAUAAUAUUUCAUAACCCUACAUGUGCUUUUCACUAUACCUUAGAUGGAUCUGACCAUUAUUAAAUUCCAGAAUAGGAACGCUUUGUGAAAUUACAAUAUCAGACAAUAGCAGGUCAAAUUGAGUUUCAUUUCGAAUAUAGAUUAUAUGAAAGCAAAGUCUAAAGGCAAUAAUGGAGAAAUCAUGGAGCCCAACACACUCUCAAUCUAGUCUAGACUAACAUUAGCUUACUGAACGAUUCCAUCUAUCACUUAUUUCAUUUCUAAGAUGCUAUUAGAAUUACAACAGUUCAACUGGAUUUCACGCAUUCACUAUAAGUAGAAGUAUCAAAUGAAGAAAAACUCAUAAAUAUAAAUACUCCCUCUAUUAAACUCUAUAAUGCAAAUAUGGAAAAUAACUGCAGUAAGCAAUCACAACAUACAUAAAUCCCAAAUACAUGAACCACCCUAAAAUGGGAAAAGUAACAAGAUGCCAGUCACAAAAACACCAAAAAAUCAGUUCAAGUUAUUAACCCAAGUAGCCCAUAAUUAGUGUUGAACUAAGUAAUGUAUAUAAAGUCCAAUCAGUCCAUGCUCCAGAAACAUGGCCAUUCUCACAGACAUUAGAGCGAACAACUGGUUCUCCAUCGUCAUGGUACCCAAAAUACCUCCUUAAACAGAACGGCGAAUGCAGAUUCCGCGUUUGUUUUGACGAGCAAAACGCGCAAUUCAGAUCAAUCUUCUUCCUGGUACCAUCAUUAAUCGUCCUCCAUACCCUCGACUGCUUGAAAUUCUUGAAAAUCCCCCCAAAAUAACAUGUAAUUCCUCUUCUCUUCCAUGUGAAUACAACCAGGCCAAUCACAUAUGUACAAACAAUCCCCUUAAAAUCUACUAGCUAGGCCAAUCACAUAAGAUCCAUGAAUGUUGUCAGGGCAUUAGUCAAUUCAAAGGACAUCACCAAAAACUCAAAAUGAUCAUACCAAAUUUGAAAAGCAGUCGUAGGGAUAUCCACCUCCCUAUUCUUCAAAUGAUGAUACCCAGACCGAAGAUUAAUCUUAGAAAAGUACUUAGCACCCUGAAGCUAAUCAAAGAGAUCAUCAAUCCUUGUAAGGGAAUACUUAUUGUUCACGGUCACCUUAUUCAAUUGGUGGUAGUCAACACAUAUCCAAUGGUACCCAUCCUUCUUACGCAUAAAUAGAAUCGGAGCACCCUAAGGAGAAACACUAAGGUGGAUAAAACCCUUAUCUAGAAGAUCUUUCAACUGCUCUUUGAGUUCUUUCAACUCUGCCAGAGUCAUUCUAUAAGGAGGGAUAGAAAUAGGACAAGUGUCCGAAAGAAGAUCAAUCCCAAAAUUGAUUUCCCUAUCGGUAAGAACACCAGGAAUAUCAUUAAGGAACACCUCGGGAAAUUCACAGACCACAAGGACAAAUUGCAAAGAAGGACCUUCGGAUCUAGAAUCCUUAACAUGCACUAAGUGAUAAAGGCAAUCCUUAGAAACCAAUUUUUGAGCUCUAAGAUAUGAAAUGAACCUUCCCUUAGGCACUUGGUAACUACCUUUCCAGUUCAAUCACGGGCUCAUUAAGGAAUUGGAAACUGACCUUUUGGGUUCGACAAUCAAGAGACACAUAGCACGAUACAACCAAUCCAUCCUCAAAAUCACAUCAAAGUCUAAUAUGUCAAACUCUAUCAGAUCCACCAAGGUCUCCCUACCAUAACCGACAUUACACACCCCUUAUAGACCCUUUUAGCCACAAUGGAGUCACACACUGAGGUGGACACAUAGAAGUGAUCUGAAAUGCACUCAUGGUCAAAACCAAAAUGGAUAGCCACAUAAGGGGUCACAUAGGAUAGGAUAUAACUAGAAUUAAGCAGACAAUAUACAUCAUGAGAGAAAAGUUUGAGUGUACCGUUAACAAUAUCGGAAUACCUCAGAAUCUUGGCGAGUGGCAAGAGCAUACAGACGGUUUCGUCCAGUGUUAGAGCCAGAAGUAAAAGUAGCACUCUUUGGUACAGGAGUUAAUAAAGUGGCAACAGGAAUCACAUUUGCUCUAGAAGGCAAUCCCUCUGCAUAUGACCAAUCUGUCCAUAUUUGGAGCACUUGUUCCUCUCCUAUUCACAAACACCAUAUGCAUCUGACCAUAAAAUCUACAAAGGGGAUAUGAUGGAGCUGACUGAGCCCUACUAGCCUGCAUUUGGGCACCCUGUACCCUUAGAAUCAUAUUAUUCUGAAAAAUAAUUACCCGACAGCUUCGACUAAGGAGCACUAGUCGUAGCGUAGGAAGCAGAAUUACCCCACUUCUUCUUAGACCAUUUUCCACCAUCUCUACCACUCUGUUGCUGACCUCCACCCAGAUUCGAAUAUCGAAACUUUUUACUCUGCCUUUCACUCAUCUCCGCUUGUUUCUUCUUUUUCUCUUCCCCUUGUUUCAUGUAAACCAAAAGUCUAGAGAUCUUAAUAUCUUUGUUCAACAAGGUGGCCCUGCUCUCCAAGAUCAAUUCAUGGGACAACCCAAAAGCAAAUUUUCUCAUUCUAGCCCUCAUGCUAGACAUUAAUUCCGGAGAAUAUUGCGACAAGUGAUGAAACUUCAAGGCAUACUCUUCUACCAUCAACCUGCCUAGCUUUAAGUUCAUAAAUUUCUCAACCUUUGCCUCCCUUAGCUCCUGAGGAAAGAAGCGAUCAAGAAAAGCACUAUAAAAGUCAUCCCACAAAGCAGACUCAACAUCAUCACCCCUAGAAUGGUCCCAUUCCUUAUACCACUGAUACGCCACAUCCUUUAAUUAAUAAGUAGCAAACUCCACACCCUCUACAUCAGUAGCAUGCAUCACAUAAAAAGACUUUUUUAUCUCAUCAAUAAAAUUGUGAGGAUCUUUCUCAACUUUAGAACCAGUGAAAGUUGCAGGACUCAACCUCUUAAAUUGGAAAACUCUAGUUACCUCGGUGGAUAGAGCAACAGAAGAAAGUCACUCAGUCUGAGAGGCCACCAACUGAGUAAGCAAGUGGAUCGACUAGCGAAACUCAGCAUUAGACACGCCAGCUUGAGCUGCAUAAGGAGGGCAAGGAGGAACCAGUGGAACUCCACUAGGGCAAUCAGAAGUAGUGACCCUAGACCGAGUAUGAACUCUUUGAGUAGUACGAGCUUUGUACAUAUUGUCCUCAGACAGGACAGAAGAGUUUCCACGAACAUCAGAUCCUCUGGGAGGCAUUAUCUAAAAAGCAAACAUAUGGGGAUUAGAGAAGAUUUCGAUAACUUAGACUCUAUAGCUCAAAAUAGAACAACAAAAAAGGAAAACAUUCCUAAUUCCUCAUUGUCUCUCUAUUAUAAGUGUGGCAUGCUAGAUACCCAUAAAUUGACUCUACUUAACAUGUCUUUGUGGACACCUAAUGAAAUCAAACUAAGCUUUGGCCUUUGAUACCAACUUUCUCACGACCUAAAUCAUGGCCUAGCCAUGAAGGGUAUCUCCAAUCCAUCGUGGAUCAAAGACCACCCCAUGAACCUAACCAAAUACCAUAAUAUCCCCGACGUCGAAUGAAUUUUGAACAAUAACAAGAUAAUAUAAAAUGAGCUUAAAAAAUAAAAGAUAUGUAUAUAACUGAUAACCGGCAACCGACCAAACAUAUCCAACCAAAAUCACCCAAGUCAAUAGUAAUCUGACAAAGCCUCUAUGCAAAAAGAACCAAAAAAAUAAUCUUGGUCGAGACAUGUCCCCGACUCUAACAAUGAAAAUGAUAAUAUUAAUGAUAAUGUAAACUCUCAAAUCUAGUAUAUAAAAAAACUGAUGAAAUGUUUAAGUCUUCUGAAAAAUAGAAGCUCAACACUUCACCAUAAUGAACCGACAAACCAAGUCGAUCCACCUAACUCUACGCAUGAAAAGUAGAGGUAUCUCUAAUGUCUGCAUCGUAUAGGGAUACAAUGUUUAGAGACGAUUAGUGGGGUGAACACUAGCAUGAAGCACAGGUAUAGGGGAUAAAAUAAUGUCAAGGAUAACAAUUCAAAACCAUUCCAAAAUUCAAUGCACAUAAUCAAAUGCAAAUACAUACAUACAUACAUAUAUAUAUAUAUAUCUAUGUAUGUAUGUAUGUAUAUAUAUAUAUAUAUAUAUAUAUCACAUGCUGAGGUAGGGAAUAAGGCUUAGCAUCCACUUUAAAACUUUAGCAUGGAUUGUGUAACUAAACUGUCAUAACAUAAGAAGGCACCCACGGGCUAUAUGGGCCCAGCUCUCCCCCAACUAGUUGGGCCUCAAUAUGUGUGAACACACGAACUAGAGGGUAUACAUAUGCACUAUAGGGGACUCGAACCUCCUAGCAUAUCAAGGUGACACAAACACCCAAUCAUGUAAUAUAAUGUGGGGGACUCGAACCUCCAAUCAUAUGAUAAUAAUAAUGAGGACUCUAACCACCUGAUAAUUUAGACCUCAGAUUAGCAAACGUGGUUUCUAGUAUUGGUCUAGCGAGACUUCCAUUUUCACUACUCAGCUACACAACCCUCAUUAAAGACCAAUUAAAAUAAUUAUCACACAUUCCCAUUCAUUGAACCAUGAUACACAUUUAGGCAUAAAUUAUUGGUAUAGUCAUACCAACUACACUUGCAUGGUAUCAACAUGCCAAAAUAAUUUUAUUAUUUGGGGAGAUUCAUAGCCCUUUUAGUUCAAUUAUACAUUAGCAUGGGAAAUUACACAACCCCAUAAGGUUUAAUUCAAUUCAUUAACCUUUCAUAUCAUGCAACAGUUCAAAGGUAGUUCAAUGUGCAUACUUUUCAUAUUCAAAACCAAUUUUACAAUAUGGGGUUGCGGUCAUUAUCACUUCAAAAGUCACAAGUUGGGGGAAAUCACAAUCCCAUAGUUUAUUCACCAUACUCAUGCACCCCACAAGUUCAAAACCCUAAUCAAAGAAUUAUUAAUCAUAGGUAAAUCAUGGGAAACAUUGUUCAAAAAUAAACAUUCAAAACCCUCAACCCAUAAUUUAAAACCAACAUCAAUACCAUAUGAAAAACACUUUAAAACAUAUGUUUUUAACAAAUUAGCAAUUAGGGAAGAGUAACAUGCCUGAAAUAUCCAACUUUAUGGAAAAAAUUCAACCCUUGAGCCCUUGGAUGACCUUCUUGGAAACCCUAAGUAUCUUGCUCGAGAGAAUUUAAGAGAGUUCUGAGAGUGUUUAAUUACGUUAUGAAUGAGAAAUAACCCCCUUGAGUGCUUUCUGAAAAUGGUAUUUAAUUGAGUAAAAAGGAAAUAAUUCAAAGUGCCCUUAAAUUAAAAGCUGAAAUUUAAUUGUCAGUGUCUACGGGUCACUAGACGACUCAAAGGGUUUUGUUAUGACUCGUCACCAUGAGUCGUAACCAAGACAGUUUCUAAGGAACACACAUACUGUUGACCCUAUGACUCACCUUAUACGACUCGUAAGGUACUGUCGUAGUCAACACAAAAACCAUUUGGGGUAAACACUAGACAUCCUAUAAUUUGCACAAAACAACUCGUAGUGAGCCACUCGUACUCAGAACAGAACUUAUCCACACACACACACACUGUUUAGGCUACGAUCUGAGUCCAAUGACUUGUCAAGACUCCCUACGACUCAUAGGAUAAGUCAUAGUCGGGAUAGUGAGGAUAAAAUUUUAGAAUUUUUUAGGGAUCAACACCUGGUGUUUAAGUUGUCCUUAGAGAAAUUAGUUGUAUUUGUAAGAAAUAUUCUAUAUUUAUUUAUUGUUUGCAGUGAAAGUUCUAUAUUUAUGUAUUGUUUGUAGUGAAAACGUCUUACUUUUAUAUGAUUGUAUGAAAUUUUAUGCCCAACAAAAAAAAGCUUGAACGACUAUUUAUUUAUUAAUAUGUAUAAAAUAUUUAUCAAGAAUCUAACGACUCUUAAAUUGUAGAAUGCCAUCCAAGACAAAGUUAAAGUAAUUUUUAAAACUCAAUUGGAUUAACAAUAACUAUAUUUUAAAGAAAAAUUAUUUUGUUAAUUAUAGUAGUAUUACAUAGUUUUCAUUUAUUUUCACUAAUUUAAUAAUAAUUAAGUAGUUGUAGAUUGAUAGUUGUAUUAAAAUCAGUAGUUGGAAAGUGACAAUGUUCAAAAUAUAAUGUUCAGUCAUAUCAAUUCAAAUAAGAAAAUAGUGUUGUAUCAAAUUCGUCUGAAAAGUUGUCACGACCUAGACUAACAGACCAUGCGGGCACCUACGUUGUUCUAAGUAGCUAGGAGAACCCUUAUUACCCAACUAAAAAUAGCAGAAGACUUCUGUUUUUAAGGAAAUAUAAAGUAAAUUAAACACUAAUAAAUAAACUUUUUCAAAAACUUCUUACAAAUGUCCUUCACUAUCCCAAGACUUAGCCAGACAUGUAUAAGAGCUACUUAUUACAACAAAGACUGACAAUGAAAUAAAUAAUACAAGGACUCUAACAUCUAUCGGGAAGAAAGUGCAGAAGUUAGUGUUGAAUAUCAUCAUCCAUCUAGUAACUGCAAACCAACUUGCAUUUAGUAUACACCCUAAUAAGGAAUGUAGAAGAGUAGGUUCAGUACAAUCACACGUACUGGGAGGCAUCAUCGGCCGACCGUGUUAGUUUAUAUAAUCAUAAAAUAGAAUUAAGAAAAAUAAAUCAUGACAUCUUGAAUGGAAUAUAAUUCAACAAAGGUCGUAAUAACAUUAUUACUUUACCUAAGUAAGUUACAUCAUCCAAUUACUCUUCCAACUCCAUCAGUAUUAUAUUCACUACUAGCAUACUCUAGCCUCAUUAAUUCACACAAUCAACCACAAUCCAAUACUAAUACAUCACUAUUUCUCUUAAUUUACCUUAUCUUUUCUAUUACUCAUAUUCACAGGAACAAACCUGUAAUCAUAAACAACCCAUACUAAAUUCUCGGGCUAACAACUCAAUGCUUUCAUAUAAUAUUAAAGAAUGAUAACUAGCUAUUCUGGUAAGCUACGAUUAAAAUACGUAUAAAUGAAGCAAGUCAACCAAUAUAUAAGUAAGUACAAAGUUUCACUUCUUCAAAUACAUAUCACACAAUCAAAUACCCAAUGAAUCAAUAAUACAACAAUAACAGAUCAAAUAGUGCUUACAAACAAGCCACAUAACCAUCAAGAGUAUCAACCAUACUGUAAACAUCCACAAACUCAACACAAAUAUGUACACACAUGCUAUAGGACUUAUUUUUUCCCAAAUAGCUAUGAUCAGCGAACAAUCUAUGUUCAUGUACCAUACCGGAGUGGUACCCGAUCCACCAUAUACAUAUCCAUACCGGCAUGGUACCCAAUCCAUAAUAUAUAUAUUCGUACCAGUGUGGUACUCGAUCCAAUAUACACAUAUUCGUACUAGCGUGGUACCCAAUCUAACAUAUACAUAUCCGUACCGGCGUGGUACUCGAUCCAUCAUACACAUAUCCGUACUGGUGUGGUACCUGAUCCAAUAUAUACAUAUCCAUACGGCGUGAUACACGAUCCAUCAUACGCAUAUCCGUACCAGCAUGGUACCCGAUCCAACAUAUACAUAGCCAUACUAGCAUAGUACCGGAUCUAACAUAUACAUAUUCAUAUUGACGUGGUACUCUAUCCAACAUAUACAUAUCCGUACUGGCGUGGUACCCAAUACAACAUAUACAUAUCUGUACCGAUGCGGUACCCGAUCCACCAUAAACAAGUAAUAUCAAUAUUAAAUUUACACUUCACACAUCAUACAACACGAUGUACCAAGUUUACAAGUACACUUAAAGUAAUGAGAUAAUUCCAUCAAUUAAAUUUAAAAAUUCAUUUACACACGCAUCAACAAUCCAAACAUCAACAAGUCAUUUAUGGCAUUAAUACAAGAAGUUAUCAUUAUCAAACAAGCCUCUCAUAGGCACAUUUCAAUAAAUCAUCAUUAUCAACAAUUUAGCCCCUCAUGGGCAUCCAAUAGAUAAAGUGUUUUUAUCAAUACCAAAACAACAAUAUCAUAAAAUAAAUUACAAUUUAACAUUUAAGCAUGCAAGUCACUAUUGGAGUAUUACUUACUCAUUAAUUAUUAAAAUGUCACUACCUCUUUUCAUAUAAUACAAUAAUCAUACUAAUUCUAGUCAUCUAUCCUUUAGAUGUUAAUGUGCUCAUUGGUGCUUAAUCCUAGCAUGGUUCUCCACACCAUAUUAUUUUCCAAUAUAUAUAACUUAAUAUUAUUAUAACUCAACUAGGUUCAUCACCAGAACAAGUAAGAACUAUCAUGUCUAUAUCCUUCAUUUACAACAAUAUCAUUGUAGCACAUAGCACAUAAUAUCACCAGUAUCAUAUAAUUAAUCAAUAAUAUAGUUUUCGGGACUAAAGUUAAGUUCUUGUGUCUUUAUCCACCUCAACUCCAUGUCCGCAUGCCUAGACAUGCUUUCUCCCAUCAAUUUUAAAUUAUGAAAAUAUAAAUUAACACAAUCUUCUACUCAUUAAAUCUAGCCUACCUAGAAGUCAAGAUUUUAGAAGAAACGAGUUGUAACAAAGAUGCUCUUUUCUUUCCUUUAUUCCUUGGGAUAAUCAACCAUCUAAAAAUUAAGCAAUUAUAAGAGUAAUAAGUAAUUACUCUUCAAUCAAAUAUCUUGAAAAUUCAAACCUACUAAUUAUAUCCUUCAUUCAAGGUCUAUAUCAUCCUCCAAAUUCAAUCAAUCAUUAAUUAGCUCUUUCAAACUUAACUCAUCUCCGUUAAUCAAGUUUUUAUGCUAAAGGUCUCAUCUUUAUGAAAUUCAAGGUUCCUAGCCAUCAAAAUCCAUAAUUUAGUUUAUGAAAUUCAUGUUAGAAAUCUUUAGUUUAUAGUUUAGAAUCAUCUCUAGGUCAUAUUAAAAAUAUCCAUGAGUAUUCCCCAAAAGAAUUCCACCAUUAAAGGUCUUUCUAAGGAUUCUAAGAUAUUAAAGGAUUAAAAGACAAAGAAAAUAAUGGAAAAACUUACCUCCGCGAAGGAAUUUCAACUUAAGCUUUGAGAAAACACCUCUCUAGGGUUGGGGAAUGAAAUUUGGGAUUUUUAGACCUAAAAUACGGCUGAAGCUGAUUUAAAUACAACCAGAAUUUUCGCUAUAGCGAAAUCCUGUUUUAGCCCGGACAGUGCUAAGUAAAACAGUCAUAACCUUUUACUCCGAAUUCAGAUUGAGGAGAGGUUUAUUGAGUUGGAAAGAGGACUCAGAGAUAUUUUAUUUGAUAGGUAAUCGGACCCCUAACUCCUGAUAUUCUAUGAGAUAUGAUCGUUUGACGUUGACCCUAGUAAAAAUCCAUAUCGAAACUGUAUCGGAAGGAAAGUUUUAUACUUAAUACUUAACUUUGUGUUAGGGAUAUUGUACAACCUUAAUUCAUACCUAAAGAGCUUUCAAUACUAAAGCAUUGAUAUUAGCACUCAUGAAUAAUUAAAAUUCAUCAAACUUGAGUCUAUCUAGACACAUCCGAAGGCUAAAAUCUUCACCAAAAAAUUUGCGGUGUCAUAAUAAAUAAAAUAUUGGCUAUUUUGGACCCAAAUUAAUAUUGAGGAAUGAAAAUUAAGAAUUGUCAUGAAUUUAUUACGAAUAAUUUAGUAACGAUGAAAUAGGUUGUUACAAUCAGAUACCAAUUUACCAUCCGUUCGUCCCCGAACGGGCAUUCAGUGGAUAAAAGCACGAGGUUAGAAUUAGAGAGACAUCACUAAUAGAGUUUCUUAUACUGCACCCUAUUCACUCACUCGAUAUCCUUAUCGAUCAACCCACAUUUUAUACACAAUCAUUAUAUUAAAGUUUUUCAUAAUACGAAGAUGCGGAGCCAAAUAUUUACACACAAAUCACUUGUUCUUCUUUCAACGGCCUAAGUCUGAAACUUGAGUUUUACGAAAGAAAGAUAAAGAUGGUUAAAAUAUUCACCUUGAAGAAGAUAAAUUUUCAAAAAUACCUAUUUUUUUUUUACCGAAGCUCUAGAGCCCCAAAUUCAAUUCUGAAAAAUACUAUGAGAUGCUACAUGAAUCUACUACUCAAAUUUUCAAUACUAGAUAAGUCACAUCUAAUCCAUCCAACACACAAGUUGUCCGUAAGACACCUAACUCAGUUUCUAGCCAAGACUAUCCCAUGGAGAAUCUACAUUUGAUUAUAUUUAAGCCACCACACCACUUACAAGUCACAUAACUUAGACAUCCGCAUGAACUCAAUCAAGAUUAUUAAAUUCAUUCUAUAAAGCUAGCUUUAACAUUUCACAAACACUAUUAUUUUCACCUCAAGAUCACUCAUGAUUCAAGCUUAGUAUUUACUACUAUACAUAGAUGACAACAUAACCUCUCACUCAUUACACAGGCUUACAAAUUGGCCAUAAAGAUCCCAAAGAAUUAUAGACUACAACACAUUAUCUUCCACAAUAUUGUUAAUACUCAUCUAAUCAUCAUACCUUAAUCACUCAACAAGCAAUAUCCAUCAAGUAUCACCCAAUGAAAGAUCAAUCAUGCCAUUUAAUAAUUCACUUAUUCUCCCAUUCAGGAUCAUUCUUAAUUGUUUUAUGAGUGUAACUAAGUCAUUUGAUUUUGCAUUGCCACUAUCAUGAGAAUUACUAUCCUCUAAAAGUAUCAUAAAUCAGUCAAUUCUGUGGGACAUUUAUAAUUCAGCCACAAGGUCAAGUCAAUAAUAAUUUAUUUUCUUAAGAUUAUUCCUAAUGCAUAAAUCAACAGCUACCACUUAUGUUCUGACAAUCAUUAAAUAUUUUUCAACGACAAACACUUCACGGUCAAGCCAAAUCACUCUUAUAUCACUGACACAAAUUUAAGAUAUAUAGAGUCAUUCUUAUUUCUAACUAACAAUAUUUUUAUACGGGCUUCACUUAGCUCUUAAUCAUCUCAAGAGUGGUCCCACACCAAUAGCAUAUAAGCAAGGUCAAAUAAAAUAAAUCGAUUAUAGGUCAUUAACAGUCUCAUCAAUAAUAUCAUAUUCCAGACAAGUUAUCAAUCAAAUUCUGUAGGUAUCAACAAACUCUACUAGUUUUUGUCACUUUUAUUUAAAACUCAUUAUUUUUCCAAGCAUUAAGAAUCCGUUCACAUAAGGAACUCAAAGAUAAUGUCACUUAGCUAGUCCUAACAAGGAACCCAUUAUAAUUUCAAUAAUAGAAUUGCACAAAAAUUCUAAAUACAUUCUUAAUGAUCGGAGCACACAAGGAUCCCCACAUAAUAUCAAAUAAUUGAACCACAGAAGAAUCUAUCGACAACAUCAUCAGCAAGAACCUCUCAUUAAGGAAAAUACAUAUCACCUCGGUUCUUUAUUCAUGUCUCUUUUUCAUCAUUUUUUCUUGACAUCAUGUUCUCAUAUCAUCUUCUCAAUUCUCAUAUCAUCAAUUUAUCAGUAUAAUAGUAUCAAAAACAAGUAAGCACCAUAGAAUUACUAGUUUCAUGCAACAAAAAUCAAAUAAUCUCAUCACAAUUAUAAAAAAAAAAAUAACUUGUCAAUUUUCAUCAUUGAAAUUCAAACAAAAAUAAUUCACAACAGUGGCAAUAAUCUAGCAACCCAAGUUCAGCCACAUAUCAAACACAAGCAACCUAUAAAUUCACUACUUUGACAAGUCUUUACCUAUUAAUAAUAACCUUUAGCCUGAUUAAUAAAUACCAAUUGAAAUCUUCUAAAUUUUUAUUCAAAAUUACAAAGAUACCAAUUGAAAUCAAUUAGAAUUGUCUAGAUACCAAUUGGAUACAACCUAAUAGUUGAAGAUUAGAACGGCAAGAUAGAGAGAAAGAAAGGAAAAUAACUUCUACAUGCCUCAUAGCUUUCUGAAUAUUGGGUGUGGGGCCUUACACAUCAAUCUAUGGAACUCUACUUGACAUUGCUCUUGUACCUGUGGGACUAGUGAACCUAAUGCUUUGAUACCAACUGUCACGAUCUAGACUAACAGACCAUGCAGGCACCUACGUUAUUCUAAGUAGCUAGAAGAACCCUUAUUACCCAAGUAAAAAUAUGCGGAAGAAUUUUGUUUUUAAGGAAAUAUAAAGUAAAUUAAAUACUAAUAAAUAAACUUUUUCAAAAACUUCUUACAAAUGUCCUUCACUAUCCCAAGACUUGGCCAGACAUGUACAAGAGCUACCUAUUACAACAUAGACUGAUAAUGAAAUAAAUAAUACAAGGACUCUAACAUCUACCAGGAAAAAAGUGCAGAAGUUAGUGCUGAAUAUCGUCAUCCAUCUAGUAACUGCAAACCAACCUACAUUCAGUUUACACCCCAAUAAGGAAUGUAGAAAAGUAGGGUCAGUACAACCACACGUACUGGUAGGCAUUAUCGGCCGACCGUGUUAGUUCAUAUAAUCAUAAAAUAGAAUUAAGAAAAAUAAAUCAUGACAUUUUGAAUGGAAUAUAAUUCAACCAAGGCCGUAAUAACAAUAUUACUUUACCUAUGUAAGUUACAUCAUCCAAUUACUCUUCUAACUCCAUCAGUAUUAUAUUCACUACUAACAUACUUUAGCCUCGUUAAUUCACAUAAUCAACCACAAUCUAGUGCUAAUACAUCACUAUUCCUCUUUAUUCACCUUAUCUUUUUCAUUACUGAUAUUCACAAGAACAAACCCGUAAUCAUAGACAACCUACACUAAACUCACGGGCUAAUAACCCAAUGCUCUCAUAUAAUAUUAAAGAAUGAUAACUAGCUAUUCUGGUAAGCUACGAUUAAAAUAUGUAUAAAUGAAGUAAGUCAACCAACAUAUAAGUAAGUACAAAGUUUCACUUCUUCAAAUACAUAUCACACAAUUAAAUACCCAAUGAAUCAACAAUAAAAUAAUAACAGAUCAAACAGUGCUUACAAACAAGCCACAUAACCAUCAAGAGUAUCAAUCAUACUGUAAACAUCCACAGGUUCAACACAAAUAUGUACACACAUGUUAUGGGACUUAUUUUUUCCCAAAUAGUCAUGACCUGCAGGGAACAAUCUAUGUUCAUGUACCGUACCGGAGUGGUACUCGAUCCACCAUUUACAUAUCCGUACAGGCGUGGUACCCGAUCCAUCAUAUACAUAUCCGCAUCGGCGUGGUACCUGAUCCAACAUAUACAUAUUCAUACCGGCGUAGUACCCGAUCCAAUGUAUACAUAUCUGUAUUGGCGUGGUAUCCGAUCCAUCAUACACAUAUCCAUACCGGCGUGGUACCCGAUCCAACAUAUACAUAUCCGUACCGACGUGGUACCCAAUCCAACAUACACAUAUCCGUACCGGCGUGGUACCCGAUCCAACAUAUACAUAUCCGUACCGGUGUGGUACUCGAUCCAGCAUAUACAUAUUCGUACCGGCGUGGUACUCGAUUCAACAUAUAUAUAUCCAUACCGGUGCGGUACCCGAUCCACCAUAAACAAGUAAUAUCAAUAUCAAAUUUACACUUCCCACAACAUACAACACAAUGUACCAAAUUUAAAAAUACAUGAGACAAUUCCAUCAAGUAAAUUUCAAUAAUCAUUUAUACACGCAUCAACAAUCCAAACAUCAAUAAGUCAUUCAUGACAUUUGUUGACACCCAAAUUUGACUUCCCGAUAUUACUUUUUGGGUUGCUAUUUUACCAAAUUAUUUAACUUUAAUUAUUAGUUUUUUUAACAUAUUAUUCUUACAUUAAAAAUAUACUAAAUUGCAUAAUUUGGAAAAAUACAUAAAUUAUUCUAUUAUCUUUUAGUAUCAUUUUUUAUAAUUUUUUAAAACUCAAACACGAUAUUUUUAUAUUAUUAAUAUUUUUAUACACACAUUUUUACAAAUACAUUAUCUAGAUUUUCAUUAUUUAGUAUUAUUUAAUUAUUAUUAUUACUAUUAUUUAUUAUUAUUAUUCCUACUAUUAUUUUAAUAACAGCCUAAUAAAGUCACUCUGCCUAAUUUAUUUAUUUUAUUAGCAUAAUCUUAUACAAGCCAUUACAAUUUUAGCCCAUUUUAUUACAAACAUAGUCAAUGUGAGACACAAUUUAAAAAUUUCCACCUUUAGAUCUCAGCCAUUGAUCAAAAUGAAUCCAACGGCUGAGAUCAAAACUUUUCUUUCUUUCCUUUUAUACACCCAAAACACGACCCAAACCCUUAACGCCGCCGAGCUGCUCCGCCACCUCCGUCCUCUCCUCCCGUCAACGAGCCUCGCCGGAUGUGAUUACCGGUGGGCUCUGCAUCUUCUCCGCCACCAAACGCCGACGCUCGUCCAUGGCUCCAUCUCCCAUCGCCACCGCCGCCCCUCUACUCCUCCGACGGACAACCAACUAUGCAAAGCCGCCCUCCGCCGUCAACACCAACCGGCGAUUUAGCGCUAGCGCCGCUCCGUUCUCCGCCUCCUAGAUUUGGCGUAAACCACCAUGUCGCUUCCUCCUCCGUCUAUCGCCGGCUCCGCGUCACCAGCCCCAAUCAACGACGACGACAACAUCACCAGCCGGAGGCACCAGUCAAACAACCAAGGAAACCCGUCGCCCCUUUCUCCGAGCUCCUUCUGCUCACACCGCCACUCCAACGCCCUAGACUCCGAAGCAUUUACAAGUACUUUACGGAUUUACCGAUGUAAAUCCGUCGCAGUUUUGUUUUGGUAUUGAGCUUUACGUGAAUCUGCCCCUAUUCUUCUCUUCUCUUCUCUUUUAUUAUUUUCUUUUGUGUCUCUUUUGGUCAUAGACUCAAAAUUGAUAACGUAGGCCUUUGAAUUUUGGUUCAGUUGCUAAUCAUUUACCCAUCUAGAUCAGAAUUGGUGAAAAUGCCCAAAUUCUGCAUGUACUUGAUUUUCACACCGAAUAUGGAUGCCGAUGUGUGCCUAUUGUUUGUUAUAUAAUAUGGAUUGAGAGUUCUUAAAUGUUGAUUAAUUUGGAAUGACUGUCUAAUUGCAUAAUUUUUGGUUGAACCCUAAUCUUUGAUCUGAGUGCUGAGUAGUUGUUAUGAGUUUUUCUCUAAGGAAGUAUCGAGUCUGGCCGUUAUUACGAUACUUGAUUCGCGUGAAUUUGAAAUUAUAAGUCUUGUGAUAGAAUAAUUUUCGUUCUUAAAUUUUGAUGCAAUUUUAUUUUGAUUUCAUACGUAAUUUUAAUGAUUUGAGUUGGAUUUUUGUGCAUAAUUGAAUUUUUGUGGUUAAGGCAUAUUUGUAUAAUCAAUUCUUUUAUUUUUAUUUGGUUACUGCUAUUACCUUUAAUAUAUUUUAGGUCUUUUCACUUGUUUUAUUUAUAGAAAAUACCAUAUGUCGUCCCAAUCUAUUCUACGUUUGAUAGAUUUCCCCUUUGUUAUUUAUGGCAAACCCUUCAUCAGAUUGAUUUAAUAUGCCUUAUUUGAGAAUUAUAAAAUUGUGUAAUUGAUAUUUUUCCUUCUCCUUGAUUAACUCUGAUUGCCUGUUUAGAAUAGUUUGUUUCAUUUCUCAUCAUUACUGAUUGAUUCUUCCGUAUUUUCUUCCUUUAAUUUCACAAAUUCCUCCACUAUAUAAACAAUGCCUUCUUUCAAUUAACCGACAGUUCGACAAUCAGAAUUACUACUACUACUCUCUUAAACAAAAUACUCCCUCCGUUUCAAAGAUAUUUCCUUUUUUGACAAUACUUUAAUUUCAAAUUUCUAUGUGGCAUGUUUAGGACCACAAAAUUAAAGGGCAUUUUGGUACAUUUGAUACAAUUUUAAUUUAAGGUCACAAAUUCAAAAGUCUCUUUAUUUUCUUAAACUUUGUAUCAAGUCAAAGUAGGUCAUUCUUUUUUAAACGGAGUAUCAGUUAUUUUAAUAUAAAGCAAUUAGAUACUCUAAAGGUUUUUUGGUUUUCCUUAAAGGCUAACUGGAAACGUCUUGCAUAUUUCAUUGUCACGAGUGCGUGGCUUUUAUUAUUCUUAUUAUUUCUCUUACUGCUGUUCACUGGUAAGUUCUCGAAACGAUGUAAUUUUCAUUCUGUGUGUGUUGACUGCAUCACGUGGUGAAAGCCCUUUAGAAAGCAUGUCUUUAGGGAUAUUUCGAUGUUGUUAUUAUAUGUUCCUGUUUGCUUGCCAUUAUAUCUUAUCUGGCAGAUUUAAAUAGACAGUUAUGGGGUUCCAAAGAGUCACCGGGAUAUUCAUUAUAUCUUAUCUGGCAGAUUCAAAUAGACAGUUAUGGGGUUCCAAAGAGUCACCGGGAUAUUUAUAAUUAGAUGGUAUUAGUCCUACUUAGUUUGUUUUCCUAUUAUUUGAUUUGUAAUAUUUUUGUAAAGACAUUAUUAUUGAUGUAAUAAUAAAAUUUGGGGACUGCUUGGGGGCGGGGAUUUAUGUGCUCUGUGAAUAAUGUAGGUAGGCACAACAUAGGAUUAUGUGAUACGUGUUACGUGAAUUAUUUAUGCACACAAUUGUAAGACUCCUUGAACAUAUGGAUCGUUUAGAUGCUUAAGGUUUAUUUAUUAAUUAGCAUGUAAUCUUUAACUUUAGGAUUUAAUUGAAUUAGGCAUUCUAAAUUAAAGCAUCAAGCAUGUCAUUCAUUCUAUGUUAGUACGAAUUUAAGCAUGGUAGUGAUUUUGAGCAUGUCGAUUAUUAAGUUUGUCGUAUGUUUAACAUUAAAAUAAACUUGUCAGACGGUUUUUUUUCAGCGUAUUCACACUAAGUUCCUGCAUGUUAGUUCAUUCUCCAAAUUAAAAUAUAAUUUCAGCAUAAUAAAUCAACUUUCAGCAUGUUAGUUUCUGGCAUAAUUUUAGUAUGGGAAUAUAAAUUUCCUGUACUAUAUUCAGCAUGUUAAAACAAUUGCCCAUUAAAACAAAUUACAGCAUUAUUAUGAACAUGUUUCUACACAGUAAAAAUUUUCAGCAUUGCUAAAACCUGUUUUUGCACAAUUUUAGCAUAUCAAAACUACUUUCAGCAUAUUAGUAUUAAAUUUUAAGCAUGUUAACAUUAAAUUUCUGCACUAUUAACAUAUUUUCCAGAAUGUUAAAUUUUUGGGCAUUUUUUUAGCACGUUAUUGCAUUAUAUUCCUGCACAUUAACACAACUGUCAACAUAUUAAAAUAUAGAUUCUAAAACAUUUUUAACAUGUUAAAUACUGGAUUUAAGUGCAUUAUUGGGUUUCUUAGCAUGUUGAUGCAUAUUAAUAUUUUGUUAGUUUCUUACAUGAGUUUAUAACACUUCACAAUGGAAUUCGUAAGCACAACACAUUUACCGCACUUUUGACACCCUCUUUUAACAACAUGACAACAUGGGUUACACACGAAUCACAGUUAUCUUGUGUCACACUCACAAUUGUUGAACACUUAGAUAUCAUGCCCAUAGGUUAAUGACAUCAAAAUAAUUAACUAUUUGUCUUUGCAUGUUAAUCACAUUAAUCAACGUUAAUUAACCAAGAGGUUAACUUGGAACAAUUAUUUGCUACGUGAUGCCCUACUUGUUACGAGCUUCGAGUCCUAGGCAAUAUUGCUUUAUUUCGUCUAGAUCACAAAAUUAAAAUAGCAAAGUGCCUCUUGGACGAUAGGUGGGAUGAUUAGUAUGUCUAAAAAACGUUAGUUUUAUCCUUGUCCUAGAACAUCUUUAGACUUGAAAUUCAGCCUAGGUGGGGUAGGGUGGGUAGUCAUUCGGAAGUUAUGAUCCCAACAAAUAUUGACAGUAAGACUAAUGAUAUUGUCACUAGUCUAAUAGUUCGGCCGAUGGGUCGGAUGAUGAUUAAACAAGUUGGGGUUCUGAUUCGAAUAAGAUCGAAACAUUUCUUUGUUUGAUUUGGAUGAGUUUUCUUUUCUUUAUUUACUUUAUAUGUUUAUUUGGGGUAGUUAGUUUAUUACAUAAGUAGUUCCCUUGUCAUUUCUUUUUCCUCUCUUAUCUUAUUAUAUGUUUUGAACACUUAGAUAAUUAACAAUUAGAAAUAAUAAAAUAACAUGUUUUGUUCAUUAACUAUUUUAUCACUUAGUUAAAUAUUAAAUUAAUAAUAAAAUGAGAGACUUUAUUUGAUCACAUAGAAUCCCCACAUAAAAUAUGAAUUCAGCUGAAAACCACCUUUGUGGACCUCGAAAGGUGCUUAACACCUUCCUUUCGAGGUAAUUUGAAUUCUUACCUGAAUUUCUGGUGAACUAAGACAAAACAACAAAAUAGUUUUGUAGUAGCCUAGACCGGCGUCCUAAUGCACCCUAAUUCGUUAGGUGGCGACUCUUCAUAUACAUUCCUUAAACAAGCCCAAAAAGAAUUUGUCAUGUCGAAUCUCGCUUUUCGUGAGAAAAACAGGGUGCGACAGAAUGACAACUCUACUGGGGAGAUUUUAGGUUCUAAUCAUUAUGAAUUUGUGUUUUAUGUGGGAUUCUCUUUAUUUGUUUUUAUGUUUCUAUGUUUGCUUUUGACAUAAUUUAUUUUCUAUAUGUUUUUGUUUUAUUGUUUAUUCACAUCAUGAUUUAUUUGCCUCUUCUCCUUCGCUAUUUUUUAUGUGUUAUUCCUGUGUCUCCAUGUCUACUUUCGCUUUUAUUGGUGAUUAAUUUACACAUGUUAUUCCCUUCUUCUUUCCCUUUUUUUUUGUGUUUCUCCAUGUCUACUUUCGCUUUUAUUGGUGAGUAAUUUACACAUGUUAUUCCCUUCUCCUUUCCCUUUUUUAUAUGUUAUUCAUGUUUCCCUAUGUCUAUUUUUGCUUUUAUUGGUGAUUAAUUUAUGCAUGUUAGUCCCUUCUCCUUUUCCCCUUUUUUACUUGUUAUUCAUAAUUCUGCAUGCCUACCUUUUCUUUUAUUGGUUAUGUGCUUUAGUGUUUAUUUUCAUAUUGCUAA
RNAcentral lists this long non-coding RNA (24553 nucleotides) under Capsicum annuum. RNAcentral's name for it is "long non-coding RNA (CANN_LNC021371)". The record is from RNAcentral. Lineage: Eukaryota; Viridiplantae; Streptophyta; Magnoliopsida; Solanales; Solanaceae.